UCCCUGGUGGUCUAGUGGCAAAGACUCUGCGCUUCCAAUGCAGGGGCCCGGGUUCAAUCCCUGGUUGGGGAA
Non-coding RNA from Cervus elaphus (red deer), 72 nucleotides. The record is from the annotation of a RefSeq genome assembly. NCBI's taxonomy places the organism in Eukaryota, Metazoa, Chordata, Mammalia, Artiodactyla, Cervidae.